This 403-nucleotide ribosomal RNA is filed under the name uncultured Clostridium sp. RNAcentral's name for it is "bacterial SSU rRNA". It matches the Rfam family "Bacterial small subunit ribosomal RNA", at positions 355 to 774 of the family's 1533-position model. The record is from RNAcentral. Lineage: Bacteria; Bacillati; Bacillota; Clostridia; Eubacteriales; Clostridiaceae. RNAcentral also lists the same sequence under 2 other names.
UGGGGAAUAUUGCGCAAUGGGGGGAACCCUGACGCAGCGACGCCGCGUGAAGGAAGAAGGCCUUCGGGUUGUAAACUUCUUUGAUUGGGGAAGAAAAAUGACGGUACCCAAAGAACAAGCCACGGCUAACUACGUGCCAGCAGCCGCGGUAAUACGUAGGUGGCGAGCGUUAUCCGGAAUUACUGGGUGUAAAGGGCGUGUAGGCGGGGAUGCAAGUCAGAUGUGAAAUUCCGGGGCUCAACCUCGGCACUGCAUCUGAAACUGUGUCUCUUGAGUGCUGGAGAGGAAAGUGGAAUUCCUAGUGUAGCGGUGAAAUGCGUAGAGAUUAGGAGGAACACCAGUGGCGAAGGCGACUUUCUGGACAGCAACUGACGCUGAGGCGCGAGAGCGUGGGGAGCAAACA